AUUAGGUUAAGUUGGAUAGGUUUGGUUAGAAUUUGGAUUGGAUUAGAAUUAGAUUAGGAUUUAAAACUUGAUUAGAAUUUGAUUAGAAUUUAAGAUAGGACUAGGAUUUAGGAUUUGAUUUAGGAUUUAGAAAUUAGAAUUUCCUUAGGAUUUAGGAUUUAGUUUAGAGUUUAGAAUUGAAGGUUUGCUUAAAAUUAAGGAUUUAGGAUUUGUUUAGGAUUUAGGAUUUGGCCUAGGAUUUGAUUGAAAUCCAUUAGGAUUUCUAUUAGAAUUAAAUUAAGACUUCAUUGAGAUUUAUUUAAGAUGUAUUUGUAAUUAUUUUAAUAUUUCUUUAGAACUUCUUAAGGAUUCUUUUAAAAU
This 360-nucleotide long non-coding RNA is filed under the name Physcomitrium patens. RNAcentral describes it as "long non-coding RNA (PPAT_LNC008166)". Lineage: Eukaryota; Viridiplantae; Streptophyta; Bryopsida; Funariales; Funariaceae. The record is from RNAcentral.